Sapajus apella (tufted capuchin) is the source of this 8598-nucleotide long non-coding RNA. RefSeq lists it as uncharacterized. The record is from RefSeq and is a predicted model, not a curated record. NCBI's taxonomy places the organism in Eukaryota, Metazoa, Chordata, Mammalia, Primates, Cebidae. The transcript is spliced from 2 exons.
UGUAGCAAUUAUGGGUAGAUGUAAGAGAAUUAUAAUUAUAUUAUGGCUGAUUGCUUGGUUUCAUAUUCCAAAAAUUUUAUUUGUCGUGUAUUUUGGUAAUGCUAAAAUGGGAAUUAUUUCUUAUUAGCUUCUUUGUAGAUACAUACAGUAUUGUCAUUUUGGUGUGUUCUUAUGACUAAAAAAAGGUGAAUGAGAAUGAAACAUUGUAAGGGGCAAAUGUGGCAAAAUAUAUAAAUCUAAAAUCAUUGUCGUAAAUGUGUCUUUGUUAUCUAUCCGUCUUUACAUGGACAAGACUUUUCAUUUCUUUUGCAGGUGCACUUGAGGAAGCUCAAGGCAAAACAUAAUCACAUUCUUAUUUUACUUGCAUGUUUGUUUUUUAUUUUCUACUGUUAAAGUUUUAAAAUUUUAUUGCAAACAGAGGAACUAAUUUGGAAAAACAGUGAUAUUUUAUGAAUUUUGCUUUAUAGUUGAAGCAUUUGUUGGAAUAUUUGAUCUAGUGGACUCCCAUUGAAAAGAAUAUUUUUGCAUACAUUUUAGAUAAUAAAAUUGUAUUUGAAAAUCCCUGUACAAAUGACCUUAUUUUUCUGUUGAAGGAUGAACAGAUUUUUACUUUAAUGAGAUCUUAGAGGUGAAGUUUUUAUAUCUAUUUUUAUGGCAGUGAAAUUUAUAUUCUAACUAUGUAAAUGACUCAAGCCAGACCUGGAAGGUCUGAUAUAUGCAGUAACCUAUAGAAAUUAAAUAAUAGUAAAUGAUUCUGAUUGAAAGAAAUAAAAGUGGUUUCCCAAAAGGUUACUCUUUAUUAAGCUGUAAACAUUUGUCAAAAGUAGAAUUGGAAUUUAGUUCUGUAAAGAGUUCUGAACCUUUGAGAGAAAUAGAGUGGAGAAAUUAUUUUUUCAAGGUUACAUAACAUAGGCUGAUAAAUUAGAAGCAAUUUUCCCAAAGUCAGGAGAAAAAACAUAAAUGUAACAUGACAUGAAAAUCUCUCUGCCAGUUCAAAGUUUUCCAUUUCAAAUUUUUCUUUAUCUUUAAUUUAAAAAGAAGUUAAAGUUAGUUAACUCUGAAGUGAAACAAAAGAUGUAAACAGCAAGAGUAACAUUUAAAAUGUUACUUGAUAGAAAAUAAAGUAUUGCAAAAUUGGCAUAAAGUCAUGAUUAACUCAUAAAAUAUGUUACUUUGAAAUACUUUUGCUUAUUAUUACUAUCUAUUGCUUUAAAAAUGACUUCUAGGGGAAUUUUUCUAAUUUUUUUUUUAGCAUAGGCUGAGUGGGGCUUGUGGGUUAUAAAAUGAAUCGCCACCUCACCUUUCUGUUUGAUGUGAUUUCUAUUUUUCCUUUCCCCUUUCACAUUAUUAAUAGAUAAAAUAUUUAAAGGAAAUAUUGCCAAGUUGCUUAUUGAUGUUUAAAAUUUAAGCCUGAAAUACACUUUGGGAGAAGAAGUAGAUAUGAAGGCAUUUCAUUAUUAAAAUUUUUAAGUUUAAAAAUAUUGCAUAUUAGCUGAGAAUAUUGAACUUGAUCAACAUAUGUUACCAGCUAGCCUCUUCCCCACCCGUUCUUUUGUUAUCUUGUUAUUGUUACAAGGCUUAAUGACAGUUGUAGGCCAUAGUUCUGGAUGUGGGGGUUAUUCUACCCUGGGGAGAAGAGGAGGAAGCAGCAGUGUGGAUUAUGGAAAUAUGGACCGAUCUAAAAAGAGACCUCUUGUAAAAGAAUGGAGCUCAAAGAAAAGCUAGGAGAAACUGAUGAAAAGAUGGAAUAUGAUGUGAAAAUGAUCAUUUGAAAUCCUUCAUUCCCAGCUGCCCUGUUUUGGAGAAAAGGAAUGCAUUUGUAUGUUAAGAGAGAGCUAAAAGAGUCCAGAUGAAUAGUAUUACUUAUUAGAUAUGUUUUCAUUUUGAUUCAGAUAAAUUAUGUGCAUUUUAAUAGACCUUUGCAUAUUUAGACCUUUUAAAUCUUAAAGACGUAAUGUUAGGUAUGAUUAGAAAUAUUUUAAGUAGUAUACAAUAUUUGCUUAAUCUUUAUGUACAUUUAAAUGAACCUAAUUUCAAAAAUUAACUUCAUGAUUGUUGUAUUUACAUAUUUUAACUAAUUGUCAUGGUGAAUGUUUUAUUUAAAAUACGAAUUAUUUUGAUACCUUGUAUCAGUUAUUUAAACAGUCACGUGUUUACUUAUGUUUAUUUUUCUAGAUAAGUGACAGUAUUGCAGCUUAUCUUGGUGAAUUAGUACUAAGUGGUAACAUACAGCUAUGUCCUUAGCCUGUUUGACCAGACAAUAAUGCAAUCUAGUGGUCAUUUUUGUAAAAUGCAGACACAGAGUCCAUGUGGUUUUAACUAGUUAUUGAUGUAUUCAUAAAGGAAAGGUUGUUCCCUGAUUCUAAAGUUUGCAAAAAGUUAGGAAGAAGCAUGAAAAUGUAAAAAUAAGGCAUAUGGUAAGAGGAUCAUAUUUUGAAGGAAGAUGAUAUUUUUAACUUUGGAUGUGCCAGGUAUUCUAAUAGAAUAUCUUCUAAGUAGAAGGAAACCUCUGACUGGACUUCAGGAGAGGAUGAUGAUUUGGGUACCAGGCAAAGUUUAGCAAAAGAGAACAAUCUCCAAGAACAACUGCUUUUAUGGGCUCCAACCUAUGUCUUUAAAUCCAUACUGGAAAAUAUAAUUUGAUAAUCAUACCCUAUGACCCUUAUAAAUAUUUCAGUUUUUAAGAGGUAGACAAUAUCACUAACUUGCUCCUUUUGAUAUGACCAGCUGGGAUUGUUAAUUGUAAUAAUCUGAAAUUUUUAUAUGAUUGUCUGUGGAGUUAUUAUUUAUAGGAUAUGGGAUGUUAAGGAGGAAGAUUAAUAUCAGAUAACUUCAAGUUGAGCCGUAGGGAAUGGAAGAAGUAACAAAAUAUUAAAUUAAGCACAAUAACAUGUUCAAAUAAUUGCUAAUUUAAUGUGGCUAGAGUGUGGGAUAUAUGGAGCUUGAUAUUGAGUCUACAAAGGUAGUUGUGUCAGAUUAUAAAGAACUUUGUAUACUUUGCUAAUUUCUUUGGCAUUGACUCAUAGGGAAUAACCAUAGUGGUACAUAUUUCGGAGGUUUCCACAUCACAUCUAUAUUUUAAAGAGGUAACUUUAGAUUUAAGUGCUUUGAAUUGGUAAAAGGAGUCUGUUGGAGACAUGGAGACUAGUAGGAAGACUAUCGUAAUUGUUUAGUAGAACUGUUGAGAACCUGAACUAGGGAAAGGUCAAAGAGAAAGUGGGAAAGGGAAUGGAUUUGAGAUUUUUUUUCUUUCUUUUUUUUAUUGUGGAGACACAGAUACAUGACAUGUACUUUAUAAACAAUUGUUAAGUUUACAGUACAGUAUUUUAAACUAUAAGCACAGUGUUGUACAUGAGACCUCUGGAACUUACUCAUGUUAUGUAACUGAAUUUUGUACCUGUUGAAUGGCAACUUGCCAUAUCUCCCUACUCACAGACCCUGGUUAGCAACCACCAUCCAACUUUCUGUUUCUGUGAGUUUGACUAUUUUUGAUGUCUCAUUUAAGUGGAAUCAUGCAGUAUUUGUCUUUUUGAGACUGGCUUAUCUGGCUUAUUUCACUUAGCAUAAUGUUCUCCAGAUUCAUUCAUGUGGCAAAUGACAGGAUUUUUUUUUCUUUUUUCUAAGGCUGAGUAAUUUUCCAUUGUGUGUAUAUAACACAGUUUCACUCUCCAUUCAUCUAUUGGUAGACAUUUAGGGUAUUUCCACAUCUUCGCCAUUCUGAGCAAUGCUGCAGAGAACAUGGAAGAGCAAAUACCCCUUUAAGAUCUUGAUUUCAGUUAUUUUGGGUAAAUACCCAGAAGUGGGAUUGCUGGAUCAUGUGGUAGUUCUAUUUUUAAUUUUUUGGGAAACUGUUUUCCAUAGCUCCUAUACCAUUUGAUAUUCUUACCAACAGUAUACAAGGGUGCCAGUUUUUCUACAUCCUCUCCAAUGCUUAUCUUUGUUUAUUUGUUUGUUGAUAAUGGGCAUUCUCACAGGUGUGAAAUGAUAUCCCACUGUGAUUUGCAUUUCCUUCCUAAUUAGUAAUGUUGAGCCUAUUUUCAUAUAACUCUCGGCUAUUCAUUUGACUUCCUUGGAGAAAUGUCUGAGUCCUUCUAUCAAUUUUUAAUCAGGUUUUUUUUUUUUUUUUGCUGUUACGUUAAUUGGAGUUCCUUACAUAGCUUGGAUAGUAACCCCGUAUCAUAUGUAUGGUUUGCAAAUAUUUUCUUAGAUGUUAUAGGUUGCCUUUCACUCUUUAGGUUGUCUUCAGUACAGAAGAUUUUUAGUUUGAUGUAAUUCCACUUGUCUGUUUGUGCCUUAGUUGCUUGUGCAUGUGUUUAUAAACAUCCAUAUCAUAUAUCCAUAAUUGGUAUUGUAGCCAAGAAAUUAUUGCCAAGACCAAUGUCAUGAAAGUUUUUCCCUGGUCGUGAGUGAUUUUCCGUUUCCAUCUAAGAGUUUAACACUUUUCAUGUCUUAUGUUUAACUCUAUUUUUUUAAAGUUAAAAAGUAUUUUAAUGGGUUUCAAAAUUCUAUGACAGAUUUCUUUGCUCAAGUUAUUUUCAGUAAGAAGUAAUUAUUUUAAAAACUGACAACUUAAAGACUCCCACACAAAAAACCCAAAAAUGUUCCAUAAAAUGUUCUCCUUUCCUUCCAAAGCUUUUGUAAUGCAUUGCUAUCAUUAACCAGUCUUUUACUAUUAAACUUAAAUUGCCUUUUCAGACAAAUACUUCUGGGACUGUUUUUCAACUUGAAUAAAACUAGGGUGCAGGUAUUAGGGAUAAUAUUCAUUUAGCCUCCUAAACUUUCCGGGCGGACUUGCUGACCUUCCCAACUCUAGCAGCCCCCUUGUCCACUGCUUUGAAGACACCCACUGCAACUGUCUCAAAUUAUGAACAGUAAAAUGACUCAGAGGAGGAUGGUCAGAAGAGCUUUUAACACUCCAGGAACCAUGUAAUAAUGGCAGCAUCACUAGAUUUCAGGAGUUUAGAGCCAUCUCCCAGCUUCUUACCAGAGUGGCAAUCAAUCUUUUCCUUCAGCUCAGCAAACUUGCAAGCAAUAUAAGCUGUGUGAUAGUGUAGCACAGGAGGAUAUCCAGGACCAAUCCGGCCUGGAUGGUUCAAGAUUACCAUGUGAGCAGUGCUUCCUAGCUGCUUUCAUUGGUGAGUCAUUUUUACUGUCACCAGCAAUACUGUGAUGGCGAUUAUCUUUGACAGACACAUUCUUGACAUUGAAGCCCACAUUGUCUUUAGGAAGAGCUUCACUCAAAGCUUUUUGGUGCAUUUCAGCAGACUCUACUUCAAUUGUAAUGUUGACUGAUGCAAAAGUAGACCCCAUGCUGGGCUUCAGCAUACGAGUCUUCACUCGGCCCAAAGGGACAGCACCAAUAUCACCAAUUUGUAGACACUGGGCAGGGGCAAACACAAGAGCUUGUCAAUUGUAUCAGUUUGGUGGUAGGAUGCAAUCCAGAGCUUUAAGCAGCAUGUUUCCACUAGUAUUGUCAUCUUUCCACAGGUGACUUUUCAUCUCUUGAGCCAAGAUAUGUUAUCACUUGACUCCAACAUAUUGUCACCAUUCUAAUCGGAAAUUGGCACAAAUGCUACUGUGGCAGGUGUGUUGCCAAUUUUCUUAAUAUAGGUGCUGAUUUCCUUAAGGAUUUUCUCAUCUCUUCUGGCUAUUGGGUGAGUCAGUUGAAUCGAUUUUGUUAACAUAAACAGUUGGUUGUUUUACAAUCAGUGUGGAAGCCAGAAGGGAUAUGCUCAUGAGUCUGCCCAUUCUUGGAGAAACCAACUUCAGAUUCAUCAGCACCAGCAGCAACAGUAAGAAGAGCACAGUCAAUUUGAGAUGGGUAUGGUUUGUCUCUGUGUCCCCACCCAAAUUGCAUCUUGAAUUGUAGUCCCCAUAAUUCUCACAUGUUGUGGGAGGUUACUUGGUGGGAGAUAAUUAACUCGUGGAGCAGUCUCCCCCAUACUGUUCUUGUGGUAGUGAGAUUUGAUGGUUUUAUAACAGGUUCCCAUUUCACUUUAUUCUCUUUCUCUCCUUGCCUGCUGCCAUGUAAGAUGUGACUUCAAUCUUCCCUCACCUUCUAGCAUGAUUAUGAGGCCUCCCCAGCCAUGUGGGACUGUGAGUCCAUUAAACCUCCCUUUCUUCAUAAAUUACCCAGUCUUGGGUAUGUGUUUAUCAGCAGUGUGAAAAUGGACUGAUACAAUAAAUGUUCCUGUAAUAAACAUGAUUACAUGUUUCUGUAUCCUGGGGUAUCAAUGAUAGUCACAUAGGGGCUUCAAUGAUAGUCACAUAGUAGUAUUUGGUGGUCUCAAAUUUCCACUUGGAGAUACCAGUGGUGAAACCAUGCUCAGGCUCAGCUUUCAAUUUACCCAAGACCCAGGCAUGCUUGAAGGACCCCUUUCUCAUCUCACUAGUCUUGUCCUCACAUUUUUUUGUGGUUCUGUGGUCAGUCCCACCACAUUUAUAGAUUGGAUGGCCAGUAGUAAUGGACUUGAAUGAAUCUACAUGUCUAGUGAUGAUGAUGUUGAUAUGAGUCAUUUUCUUUCCCAUUUUGGCUUUCAUUUAGGAAUGGUUUUCAUAACACCCUUAUUCUGGUGGCAAACCCAUUGCCAAAAAGCUGCUUAGGCCUUUUGUCCAUUUUGAAUUGAUUUUUGUGUGUACUGUAAGAUAAGUAUCCAAUUUCAUUCUUUUACAUGUAGACAUCCAGUUUUCCCAACAACAUUUGUUGAAGAGACUAUUCUUGCUCAUUGUGCAUUCUUGGUACAUUUGUUGAAAAUUCGUUGACCAUAUUUGCAUGGGUUUAUUUCUGAGCUCUCUAUUCUAUUCCAUUGGUUAUAUGUCUUUCUGCCAGUACCAUAAUGUUUUAAUUACCAUAGUUUUGUAAUAUACUUUGAAAUGAGGAAAUAUGUUGCUUCUAGCUUUGUUAUUCUACCCCAAAUAGCCAAUUCAAGAUUGUUUUGGCUAUUUGGGGUCCUUCAUGGUUCCAUAUUAAUUUUAGGUUUUUGUUUUUUUUUCUGUAAAAAAUACCAUUGGGAAUUUGAUAGGGAUUGCAUUGAAUCUAUAGAUUACUUUAUGUAUUAUGGCUAUUGUAAUGAUGUUGAAGUUUUCCAGUUCAUGAAUAUGGGAUGUCUUUUUAUUUAUUUGUGUCUCUUAAAAUUUCUUUCAUCAGUAUUCUGUAGUUUUUCAUUUGCAAAUCUUUCAUUUCCUUGGUCAAUUUUAUUCCUAAAAAUUUUAUUCUUUUUGAUCUUAUUGUUAAUGGGAUUGUUUCCUUAAUUUGCUUGUCAGAUAGAUUGAUAUUAGUGUUACAAACACAACUGAUUUUGUAUGUUGAUUUAUAUAUUCUACAACAAACUUUUCUGAAUUUUUUUAGUUCUUCUAAUAGAUUUUUGAUGCACUCUUUAGGGUUUUCUACAUAUAAGAUUAUGUCAUCUGUGAACAGAAAUAAUUUUACUUCUUCUUUUUCAGUUUGGAUGCCCAUUAUUUCUUUUUGUUGCCUAAUUGCUCUGACUGUGACUUCCAGUACUGUAUUGAAUAGGAGUGAUAAGAAUAGGCAUUUUGGCUUUGUUUCUGAUCUUAAGAAAGACUUUCAGCUUUUCUCCCUUAAGUAUAAUGUUAACGGUGAGCUUUUCAUAUAUGGCCUUCUUUAUUUUGAGGUAGUCUCCCCCUGUUUGUAGUUUGUUGAGAUUUUUUAUUAUGAAAAAGUGUUGAAUUUUGCCCAAUGCCUUUUCUGAUUCUACUGAGAGAUCUUCAAGAAAGUGAAGAGUAAAAGUUACUGAAAUUUCUUACCUAGAAGAUUAGAUAAAUCACGGUGAUGCUGUUAGUUAAGGGAAAGGAAAAAUUUUGAAGAAGAUAAUUAGAUAAGUCUUAGACAUAAUGUGUUUUAUUUCUUCAAACAUUAUGGUUAAAAUAUCAAAGUAACCAUUGUUGCAUGAAAAAAUAUGCAGCUCUGAGGACACAUUGGGAACAUUGAUAAUACUUAGGAAAACCUUACUGAAUGCUGCUCCACGCACUUAACUCUUGUAAAUUUAUCAAAUUCUCACUGCAACACUGUGAAGUAGAUAUUAGUUAUUAUCCUGUUUUGUAGAUGAGAAGGCUGAGGCAGAGAAGCCAUGUCACUCACCCAAGGUUCCACAUCUCUUAAGUGCAGACAUUGAUUUGAGUCAAUGCAGUCUGGCCUCUGUGUUCACGUUCUCAACUAUUUAUACUAUUCUGCCUCAGUAAUAAAAGAUUCCCGUUUACUAAGCAUUUUUACAUGCUAGACAUUGUGUUGAACAUUAUUUGUAUUAUAGCAGUUAUCUUCAAUACAGCUCUUUUGUUUCACAGAAUAGGAAAUUGAAGCAAAGAGAGGAAAAGUUGCAUGAAUGAUUUUACAUAGCUGUUAGGUUGUUCAAAUGGAUUCUGAACCUAGCAUUCUGGCUAGAGAGCCCAAACUUUUAUCAGUUGUGUAUAGCAAUAAGAGUAGAUUCCUCAGGGAAAGGUAAGGGCUGAAUGCAGAGCCCAGAGGGAACACUAAUGAGACGGCUUAUGAAGAGGGAGUUGUAAAGCAGCCAGAAGAAAAAUGACAAAGACAGGAGGAGAGCUACAAAAAAAGAAAAAAAACAAACAAAAAACACACAACAU